This 5529-nucleotide long non-coding RNA is filed under the name Callithrix jacchus (white-tufted-ear marmoset). Its description in RNAcentral is "lncRNA (ENSCJAG00000059580.2)". Lineage: Eukaryota; Metazoa; Chordata; Mammalia; Primates; Cebidae. The record is from RNAcentral.
CCAAGUUUAUUAAAAAAUACACCAUGGGAAAAAACAGAGACCUGGUGGAGUUCUCGCUGUGUUCACGUGCUGAGUGACUGAGAGGCGCACAGCCUCACAUGCAUGCACACGUGAUGUGUUCAUUCAGGGAGGGAGGGCUUUGUCCUCCUUGCCUAGGCUCAACCCAAGAGCUAGGAGAAAAAUAACAGCAGGCAUGGGAGGUGGGGCAUCCAGAGCAGUGAGGCAUAGCCUGCUACACUCUCUUUAUGCAGGUGUCACUGGGCAGGGAUCUGAGGAGGCGCUGGGCCAGGGCUUCCAGAGCAGAGGGAACUGCAGGCUCCUGAGGCUAGAGGCCAGGAGGUCAGCAGGGAGGCAGGAGGAAGGGAAGGAAGGGGAGGAGUGGGAGGAGGUGGGGCCACAGACACCCUUGGGGCCAGCAGUGUCGGCCUUCAGAGGCCCUGGAAGGACCUUGGCUUCCCCCCAGGCAGUGGAGUCCAAUGCAUUCUGCCUUCAGUCUUCCAUGACCUUUAUCUCAGCUCCUCCUCAGCACGUGACAGGAGGCUCCCUAGGGGCACACCGCGUGCCUGUGCCUCCCCGCGCCAAAGCUGGACUCCAUGAGUCCACAGCACCAUUCUGCUCAGUAGGUUGUGCAAACAGGAGAAUGACGCAAGCCGACCUCACCGGCGUCUUCUGUCCUGGGCCAAGUCCGCUUGCUGGCACCUCUGCAGCCUGCGUGCAGCAUUCCGCAGGGCUCCUUCUGACUGACUGCUCGUAUUCCACGAUCUCAAAGCAACAUCACGCCUGUAAUUCCAGCACUUUGGAAGGCCAAGGCUGGUGGAUCACCUGAGGUCAGAAGUUCAAGACGAGCCUGGCCAACCUGGCGAAACACGUCUCUACUAAAAAUACAGAAAAUUAGCCGGGUGUGGUGGCAGAUGCCUAUAUAAUCCCAGCUACUUGGGAGGCUGAGGCAGGAGAAUCAAUCGCUUGAACCCAGGAAGCGGAGGUUUCAGUGAGCGGAGAUUGUGCUGUUGAACUCCAAUCUGGGCAACGAGAGUAAAACUCUGUCUCAAACAAACAAGCAAACAAACAAAAGGUUCAAUGACUUUUUCAGAUGUCAGAGAAAUAAAGUGAUUGGCAAAUGCUCUCCUCCCUGCCAUUUCUCCAGCUGGGCAGCUGAGGUGCAGAAAUGCUGUGUGACAUGCUCAAGCACGUCUGUGGCCAAGACGACCAAGAGCAAGGCUGUCCUUAGGGAGGCUUUGGCGGGGGCACGUCAUGCUGGCAGAGUCGCACCUCUCCCAAAUUAAUAUCCACUCAUAGCUUAAAAAGGCAUGAAAGCAACAGCCCUCAUUACCAGAGCCUGGAACCUGAGAUCGAAACUGGAAAACCGUAAGGAUAUCUACCAGAGUUCAUCAAGAAAUCAGUGGUGAAUUAUAUUGUUGCUGAAAUUGUUUUCAGAUGAUUUUUCCCCAAGUAGUUUGCUCCUUUGACUUGCUCCAGAAUAGUUCUUGGUAUGAUACUGCUUCCAGGAACAUUAACAUCCUUUUCUGUGAAUAAAUAAUUUUUAAACUAGGGAUUCCAGAAAUUAUCUAUCAUCUAACCAUCCAUCCGUCCGUCCGUCUAUCCAUCCAUCCAUCGAUCCGUCCAUCCUGCCAUGCUGUUUUGCUUCUGAACAAGUGGUGUCAGAUUUGUUCCAGGCUACAUGAAAAUUUCCUUCAGUCUCUGCACGGACAUUUGUUUGUGGACGUGACAGCAUUGUAAAGGCUGUGGCUUUGUAGUUUUCUAUCUUGAGAACUCAGCCUAUCCACAUCCCCUUAAGUAAAAUGACUCCGUUGAGAGGAGAAGACCUUCAGUGCCGAGGUGCACGGCGAGAGGAGAAGACCUUCAGUGCCGAGGUGCACGGCUAACUCUCGGGCAAAUGCAGUUGUUUCAGUGGGUGGAUUUUUUUUCUGCCAUAAACUAAGAGGCAUGAGAGAAGUGUGCCACGGGUAGUUUUGGUGCUCAUUUUAUGAGUGUUGGGUUCUUCUUGAAUGAUAUUUAUUUUCUCGGUAAGGAAAUAAGAAGUUAUUACAUUCUGAAGAAACUAGUUAAUUAGUUAAUGUGUGUUUUUAAAAAAGAAACAUUUUCUACUACCCAUCUUUAAAGCACCUGACCUAGUUUUAUUUGGAAGAAUCCCAGGAUGGGAAGGCAUAUUUUAAAAAGAAAAUCACUAUUUGCAACUAUCUUUCUGAAUCUCUGCAGAUCGGAGUUUUCCCCUUAUAGUGUGACUAAAACACAAUGUAACAAUAAUUCGGAUUCUGAGGCCAUCAAAGCAGACAUUGCAGUCAGUUCCCCACAUUUCCAGCUUUUAAAUGUCUACCAAAACAGCCUCAUCAUGGUCUCAGUUGUAAUAAACAAAUACUUGAAAAUGAAACAUGGAAAAAAUAUUUCAGUGAGUUGUAUUUCGUUUUUAGAGGCAGGGCCUCUCUCUGUCACCCAGGCCGGAGUUGCAGCGGCUGGAUCCUGGCUCACAGCAGCUUCAACCUGCGGGGCUCAAGCCAUCCUCCCACCUCAGCCUCCUGAGUAGCUGGGACUACAGGUGUGCCACCAUGCCCGGGUAAUUUCUUUAUUUUUUAUUUUUGUGGAGCUGGGUUCUCACUGCAUUACCCAAGCUGGGCUCAAACUCCUGGCCUCAAGCGAUCCUUCCACUUUCACCUUCCAAAAUGUGGGAUCAUGGGUGCAAGCUACGGUGCCCGGCUCUGUACGAGUUUUUACAUUAGAGAUUCGUGCAUGGUUUUGAUUUUUAAAAAUAUGAGAAAGCAAGUGCUCUGGAUGGACAAGAAGGUGUGGACUGGAAACGGAGUGCCCUCUUUGGUGACCCACGGACUUGUUUUCUUUAAAUAACUUUAGAAAUCAAUUAUUUGACACAAAACACACAUUUCUGGCUCUCAUUAUAUAUGGAAGAUUUGACACCAUUGUCUCACAUUUGGACUUGACAAAGUCAGCUGGAAGGGAGGGGGGGCUGUCUUUUCAGACAGCUCAUGGGUUCCUGCACGAACUGGGUUUGCAGCGACUCUCAGCCCUAUUCCACCGGGAGCUUUUACUCACCCAGUUUGCCUGUGUGGACACCUGCGAGGUAAACACUGUCCCUCUGUGUCAUCUCAAUGUGCCUUUCAUGUUUCAGGCGGCACCUGUCAUGUGCUCUGCACACUCUGAUGCUGUAUGUUCGUGUGUGCGUGUCUACAGCACACAGUCACACACAGUCACACACAGUCACACACUGCACAGGAACACGGUUGACUUCAGGAACUCCAUGCAGCUCAGCACUGUCGGGAUCGGGAGCGAACCACUACAUGUGCCUUGUCGGGUGUCUGCACAUCUGCGCUCGAACAGAAUUCUGCAGGCCUCAAAGGGUAUAAAAAAAUCAAAGGAAUGGAAACCGUUUACCCAAACAUGAAAGGGAUGCUCUUUUCAUGUGCGAGGGCAGGAAUGGCAGGUUCGUUAAGCACCUGCCUCUCAGCUGUGCUCGCCCUUCAGGCAAAACUGCCACUCAAGGUGUUUGGAAAAUGUUGUCCAGACCAGGCCGUCCUCACAUGGCUGCCCAGAUGUUCAGCUGCCUUUUAGCAAAACAGACGGUUUGAAGGUUUACAAAAGUCAGACCUUUCGCUUUCCUGGUGUUCUCUUCAUGUCCUUUCUUCAUCUGGGUGCACAGAGGCCCUGGUGACACAGGUGGCCCCGAGCCCACCCACAGCACCCAGGUUAACACAGCCCCGAGCCCACCCACGGCACCCAGAUUAACACAGCCCCGAGCCCACCCACGGCACCCAGAUUAACACAGCCCCGAGCCCACCCACGGCACCAAGAUUAACACAGCCCCAGAGCCCACCCACAGCACCCAGGUUAACAGCCCCGAGCCCACCCACGGCACCCAGAUUAACACAGUCCCAAGCCCACCCACGGCACCCAGAUUAACACAGCCCCGAGCCCACCCACGGCACCCAGAUUAACACAGCCCAGAGCCCACCCACGGCACCCAGAUUAACACAGCCCCAGAGCCCACCCACAGCACCCAGAUUAACACAGCCCCGAGCCCGCCCACGGCACCCAGAUUAAUACAGCCCCAGAGCUCACCCACGGCACCCAGAUUAACACAGCCCCAGAGCCCACCCACGGCACCCAUAUUAACACAGCCCCAAGCCCACCCACGGCACCCAGAUUAACACAGCCAGGGAUGCCUCCACGCAGCCCAGAUUAGAAUUCUGAUUUGCUGAAGUAGGAAUCACACAGUGCCCCAGGAGCGUCAGUCUUACACUUCUUUUUCUCCCAGCUCUUUCCAGUUUAAUAUGGUUACAGUAAAUGUGUCCAGCUCAAAAAAACGUUUAAAGACCAGCCACGAUCUCUCUUCAGUGUGAAGGGAAAUAACAUUCUGGAUAUUAGUUGAACCUUUAUUUGGCAUCUCAAGACACAUUCAGGUGAAUUCUUUCUCGCUGCUCUAAAAUAGCAUUUCAAUGCUUUCUGCAAGAAGCCACAGGGCCCCUACUGUCCAGCUUCAAUAAAGCGAUUAUUCCAAAGGAACGGCUGCUCUUGGCUGAAAACUGCUCACAUGUGGUGCUCUUUCUUCCAGGCAGCUAUUUUUAACUCUGCUGUUUCCACAAGGUCACGGCAAUGAGAGUGUUGGAUGUGGCGCUGAGGUGGCCCAAGAACACAUUCUUCCUCUUGAAGUUAUUAGAUUCUUGGGGGUCCCUGGCAAGGAUUGGGAAACCUUUCAUUCACCAGGGAUUGAGCCUGGCUGUGCUGUUGAAAGAAACAUCAGGUGCAUUUCAACAUCUUCUCAUGGAAUUUCUGGCAAUCAAUCACUGCAGGACGGUAGGAGGGAUCUGGGCCCGGGCAGCUCAUGACCCAGCCUGGAGGGAAGCUGGGCCAUGGCUUGUGGCCCAGAGCAGGAAGAGGGUAGAAAUCCGUGUGAAUGUCAAGGAGCACCAUGGGACAAGCGUGUUGCUGAGAAGGUGUUCUGUGCAAGGUGUGCAGGGAUGACGGCUGUUGAGGAUGCUGAGUGCAGAGCGCAGAGGCCUGGGGUGCUGGGCACAUCACCAGCAGAGAGGCCGCUGGAGCCCACAGAGGAAGGGAAACCUGGUGGACAGGGCUGUGUCCGAGAAUGAGCAGAUGGUGCCCACCGCUGCUUAGGUAGCGAUGACAAGGGGGAAGGAGAAGGAGGCUUCACAGCUUCUGCCCCAGGAAGAAGAUGGUUCCCCGAAGAGUAGAAGGCCCUCGUCCCUGGGGCUUGCUCAAGGGCUGGAGGGGAAUGUGAGGAGCUGAUGUUAGGCAGGAAGAGCCCCGGGGGUGAAGCUAAUGUAUGUGGAGGUGCACCUCUCUAGACCGACAGCCAGGGACACGGACGUCCUGUUGAGUCACUGAGACACAGGUCUGCAGGGAAGAGAAGUCCGGUCAGGGUGAUCUGCUCGGAGGCCUGAAGUGGGGAGGAAAGGGGCUUCCAGGAGGGAAUGAAAAGCUAGAGCUGCAGAGCGAGGCAAGAAGGAGGUGGCUUGGGGAGCGGAGAGGGGGCGGUCGCAGGGC